Molecule: long non-coding RNA, 290 nt
Organism: Portunus trituberculatus (swimming crab)
Lineage: Eukaryota; Metazoa; Arthropoda; Malacostraca; Decapoda; Portunidae
Exons: 2
Source: RefSeq, a predicted model, not a curated record
GGUACUGCUCUCAGGAGUGUUGGGUGAUCGUGUGUUACCCAGGUGUGGCGUAGUGGUGUUCCCGAGCCAUGUGGCGUGACGGAAAGCAAUAGAGCGGUCGUGAAGCAGAACCCAGACGAACGAGGAAAUCGUUCUCUUCGAGAGAUAAAGUUUACCAAGUAAACUUAAAAAAAAAAAUAAGGCGAAAAAAAUAAAAGCAUAACAAACGUGCUUCAUAUGCUGAGCUGAUGGCUCUUGGUGUUUGAGAGGUAAAAAAAACAACAACAACGAAAUAUGAACAACUAACGUAG